AGUGAACGCUGGCGGUAGGCCUAACACAUGCAAGUCGAACGGCAGCACAGUAAGAGCUUGCUCUUACGGGUGGCGAGUGGCGGACGGGUGAGGAAUACAUCGGAAUCUACUUUUUCGUGGGGGAUAACGUAGGGAAACUUACGCUAAUACCGCAUACGACCUACGGGUGAAAGCAGGGGAUCUUCGGACCUUGCGCGAUUGAAUGAGCCGAUGUCGGAUUAGCUAGUUGGCGGGGUAAAGGCCCACCAAGGCGACGAUCCGUAGCUGGUCUGAGAGGAUGAACCGCCCCCCUGGACCUGAGACCCGGUCCAGACUCCCACGGGGGGCAGCGGGGGGGAAUUUUGGCCAAUGGGCGCAACCCUGAUCCAGCCAUCCCGCGUGGGUGAAGAAGGCCUUCGGGUUGUAAAGCCCUUUUGUUGGGAAAGAAAAGCAGCAGGUUAAUCCCCCGCUGUUCUGACGGUACCCAAAGAAUAAGCACCGGCUAACUUCGU
RNAcentral lists this ribosomal RNA (491 nucleotides) under uncultured bacterium. RNAcentral's name for it is "partial 16S ribosomal RNA". It matches the Rfam family "Bacterial small subunit ribosomal RNA", at positions 29 to 506 of the family's 1533-position model. The record is from RNAcentral.